RNAcentral lists this ribosomal RNA (434 nucleotides) under uncultured bacterium. RNAcentral's name for it is "partial 16S ribosomal RNA". It matches the Rfam family "Bacterial small subunit ribosomal RNA", at positions 29 to 507 of the family's 1533-position model. The record is from RNAcentral.
AGCGAACGCUGGCGGCAGGCUUAACACAUGCAAGUCGAGCGGGCCCUUCGGGGUCAGCGGCAGACGGGUGAGUAACACGUGGGAACGUACCCUUUGGUUCGGAAUAACGCUGGGGAAACUAGCGCUAAUACGGGAAACCCCCUUUUGGGGAAAGGCUUGCUGCCGAAGGAUCGCCUCGCGUCUGAUUAGCUAGUUGGUGGGGUAAUGGCCUACCAAGGCGACGAUCAGUAGCUGGUCUGAGAGGAUGAUCAGCCACACUGGGACUGAGACACGGCCCAGACUCCUACGGGAGGCAGCAGUGGGGAAUAUUGGACAAUGGGCGCAAGCCUGAUCCAGCCAUGCCGCGUGAGUGAUGAAGGCCUUAGGGUUGUAAAGCUCUUUUGUCCGGGACGAUAAUGACGGUACCGGAAGAAUAAGCCCCGGCUAACUUCGUG